RNAcentral lists this ribosomal RNA (253 nucleotides) under uncultured bacterium. RNAcentral's name for it is "partial 16S ribosomal RNA". It matches the Rfam family "Bacterial small subunit ribosomal RNA", at positions 524 to 776 of the family's 1533-position model. The record is from RNAcentral.
UACAGGGGGUGCAAACGUUGCUCGGAAUUAUUGGGCGUAAAGCGCGUGUAGGCGGUCCGGUAAGUCGGUUGUGAAAGUCCAGGGCUCAACCCUGGGAUGCCGACCGAUACUGUCGGACUAGAGUUCGGAAGAGGCGAGUGGAAUUCCCGGUGUAGCGGUGAAAUGCGCAGAUAUCGGGAGGAACACCAAUGGCGAAGGCAGCUCGCUGGGACGUUACUGACGCUGAGACGCGAAAGCGUGGGGAGCAAACAGG